GACGAACGCUGGCGGCGUGCUUAACACACGCAAGUCGAACGGUAAGGCCCUUCGGGGUACACGAGUGGCGAACGGGUGAGUAACACGUGGGUGAUCUGCCCUGCACUUUGGGAUAAGCCUGGGAAACUGGGUCUAAUACCGGAUAGGACCACGGCCUGCAUGGGUUGUGGUGGAAAGCUUUUGCGGUGUGGGAUGGGCCCGCGGCCUAUCAGCUUGUUGGUGGGGUGAUGGCCUACCAAGGCGACGACGGGUAGCCGGCCUGAGAGGGUGUCCGGCCACACUGGGACUGAGAUACGGCCCAGACUCCUACGGGAGGCAGCAGUGGGGAAUAUUGCACAAUGGGCGCAAGCCUGAUGCAGCGACGCCGCGUGGGGGAUGACGGCCUUCGGGUUGUAAACCUCUUUCACCAGGGACGAAGCGCAAGUGACGGUACCUGGAGAAGAAGCACCGGCCAACUACGUGCCAGCCGCCGCCGUAA
RNAcentral lists this ribosomal RNA (478 nucleotides) under uncultured bacterium. RNAcentral's name for it is "partial 16S ribosomal RNA". It matches the Rfam family "Bacterial small subunit ribosomal RNA", at positions 28 to 523 of the family's 1533-position model. The record is from RNAcentral.